GACGAACGCUGGCGGCGUGCCUAAUACAUGCAAGUUGAGCGAUGAAGAUUGGUGCUUGCACCAAUUUGAAGAGCAGCGAACGGGUGAGUAACGCGUGGGGAAUCUGCCUUUGAGCGGGGGACAACAUUUGGAAACGAAUGCUAAUACCGCAUAAUAACUUUAAACAUAAGUUUUAAGUUUGAAAGAUGCAAUUGCAUCACUCAAAGAUGAUCCCGCGUUGUAUUAGCUAGUUGGUGAGGUAAAGGCUCACCAAGGCGAUGAUACAUAGCCGACCUGAGAGGGUGAUCGGCCACAUUGGGACUGAGACACGGCCCAAACUCCUACGGGAGGCAGCAGUAGGGAAUCUUCGGCAAUGGACGAAAGUCUGACCGAGCAACGCCGCGUGAGGGAAGAAGGUUUUCGGAUCGUAAAAAUCUGUUGGUAGAGAAGAACGUUGGUGAGAGUGGAAAGCUCGUCAAGUGACGGUAACUACCCAGAAAGGGACGGCUAACUACGUG
RNAcentral lists this ribosomal RNA (497 nucleotides) under uncultured bacterium. Its description in RNAcentral is "partial 16S ribosomal RNA". It matches the Rfam family "Bacterial small subunit ribosomal RNA", at positions 28 to 507 of the family's 1533-position model. The record is from RNAcentral.